Molecule: long non-coding RNA, 278 nt
Filed under: Gallus gallus (chicken)
Lineage: Eukaryota; Metazoa; Chordata; Aves; Galliformes; Phasianidae
Source: RNAcentral
AAAAAUACUCAGUUUCAGGAUUAUUCUCAAAGAUUUCUCUGGCUUCUUCCUUGUUGCAUAAUUCUUCAACACACUCUCUUUCUAAAUUUCCCUUCUUACUUUCUUCCAUAAAAGAAUUUGCUCGACGUUUCCUCGCCAGGAACUCAGAGGCAUACUGGUGGGAUAAAAAGGUCGCAGCCUCCGCCAGGGCGAGGGCCACCGCCAGGCCGGCGAGCAGCGGCACGCACCGCCCGCCCCGCGGCCUCAUCGCUGCCGGCGGGCGGCGGGGAGCGGGCACG